This 319-nucleotide long non-coding RNA is filed under the name Panax ginseng (ginseng). RNAcentral's name for it is "long non-coding RNA (PGIN_LNC003711)". Lineage: Eukaryota; Viridiplantae; Streptophyta; Magnoliopsida; Apiales; Araliaceae. The record is from RNAcentral.
UCCCUUGGUUUUGGGUUUUGGGAGAGGAAUUGAAAAUUAGAGAAAUUGAAGGAAUUGUGGAGGGAAAUUGAAAUUUGGAUGCUCUGAGAUCGGAUUUGAUUUGGAAAUUGAAAUUUGGAUGAUCUGAGAUCCCUCUGUCACCCACGACCUCGCUAUCCGCUCCAUCGCAAUCGAAGUCGAUGACGCCGCCUUUGCCUACUCUGCUAAAAUCUCCCACGACGCAAAGCCAUAUUUGUAAGACCCUGAAUUAUAUGAAAUAAAAGUAUCCAAUAUUCUUAUAAUUAUUAUUCUAUUUAAUAAUUGGUUAAAUUGAUAAAAG